AUGCAUCUCGGACAGACCUGGGGCAGUUUGUGUCUGUUGCUAAGGUUUCCACUAUAGGUGCAAGAAAAAGAAGGUCCUUGCACUUUCUGUCUGUCUGGUUGUGGGAGCCAAGAUCAAAUGGGGGAAUAUAGGA
This 133-nucleotide small nucleolar RNA is filed under the name Dasypus novemcinctus (nine-banded armadillo). RNAcentral's name for it is "Small nucleolar RNA SNORA31 (ENSDNOG00000034359.1)". The record is from RNAcentral. Lineage: Eukaryota; Metazoa; Chordata; Mammalia; Cingulata; Dasypodidae.